Molecule: non-coding RNA, 356 nt
Organism: Pseudovibrio sp. FO-BEG1
Lineage: Bacteria; Pseudomonadati; Pseudomonadota; Alphaproteobacteria; Hyphomicrobiales; Stappiaceae
Source: Rfam
GCACUUCCAUUUGGCAGUGCGUGCACCUAUAUUCCCCCUGCCAGUUCACUGGCUACGGCAAUAAAUUGCGAGCGCAAUAAACCAUUCGGACCCGGGGGCGGUACCCGGCGCCUCCACCAAAGCCCGUUGUACUCCAGCGGUCUUCGGGGGGGCGAAAUAGGAUCGACGAGGGCGUAAAGGCUUUGCUUUUGCUCGGCAUGGUACCACCGUUAUCGGACCAAAAUGAUAGUUGCAAAUGACAACUACGCUAUGGACAACGCUGUAGCUGCGUAAUGCGGUUCCGGUAGUCCACUAAGUCCUGUUGGUUAGCACCUUCAGGCGGGGUUCGGGGGCACCUGGCAACAGAAGCCUCCACU